CGAACGCUGGCGGCGUGCUUAACACAUGCAAGUCGAACGCGAAAGGGACUUCGGCCCUGAGUAAAGUGGCGCACGGGUGAGUAACGCGUAGAUAACCUGUCUUCAUGUCUGGAAUAAUACGCCGAAAGGGGUACUAAUACCGGAUAUUCUUGCUUUUCAUAAGUUAUGCAAGCAAAGGUGGCCUCUGCAUAUGCUACUGCAUGAAGAGGGGUCUGCGUACCAUUAGCUAGUAGGUGGGGUAAUGGCCUACCUAGGCGACGAUGGUUAGCGGGUCUGAGAGGAUGAUCCGCCACACUGGCACUGGAACACGGGCCAGACUCCUACGGGAGGCAGCAGUGAGGAAUAUUGCGCAAUAGGGGAAACCCUGACGCAGCGACGCUGCGUGAGUGAGGAAGGCCUUCGGGUCGUAAAGCUCUGUCAAGAGGAAAGAAGUGUACAAUGGCUAAUACCUGUUGUAUUUGACGGUACCUCUAAAGGAAGCACCGGCUAACUCCGUGCCAGCCGCGGC
RNAcentral lists this ribosomal RNA (508 nucleotides) under uncultured bacterium. Its description in RNAcentral is "bacterial SSU rRNA". It matches the Rfam family "Bacterial small subunit ribosomal RNA", at positions 30 to 518 of the family's 1533-position model. The record is from RNAcentral.